UGCCCAGUAACUCCUAUCCCUACCUCCUCGCGGUACUGGCCGGGGUACGAGUAACCUUAGGGACGAUCAGGUAACCCACCCCGGUGGAAACUCUGGUCGUAUGCUGACAGGGAAGG
This is a non-coding RNA of Aedes aegypti (yellow fever mosquito), 116 nucleotides long. The record is from Rfam. Lineage: Eukaryota; Metazoa; Arthropoda; Insecta; Diptera; Culicidae.